ACUCCUGCGGGAGGCAGCAGUGGGGAAUAUUGCACAAUGGGCGCAAGCCUGAUGCAGCCAUGCCGCGUGUAUGAAGAAGGCCUUCGGGUUGUAAAGUACUUUCAGCGGGGAGGAAGGCGAUAAGGUUAAUAACCUUGUUGAUUGACGUUACCCGCAGAAGAAGCACCGGCUAACUCCGUGCCAGCAGCCGCGGUAAUACGGAGGGUGCAAGCGUUAAUCGGAAUUACUGGGCGUAAAGCGCACGCAGGCGGUCUGUCAAGUCGGAUGUGAAAUCCCCGGGCUCAACCUGGGAACUGCAUUCGAAACUGGCAGGCUAGAGUCUUGUAGAGGGGGGUAGAAUUCCAGGUGUAGCGGUGAAAUGCGUAGAGAUCUGGAGGAAUACCGGUGGCGAAGGCGGCCCCCUGGACAAAGACUGACGCUCAGGUGCGAAAGCGUGGGGAGCAAACAGGAUUAGAUACCCCAGUAGUCCCAUGA
Molecule: ribosomal RNA, 474 nt
Filed under: uncultured organism
Description: partial 16S ribosomal RNA
Rfam family: Bacterial small subunit ribosomal RNA
Source: RNAcentral